AUGGCCAUGUUGUUGAGGAAUGGAAAAUGGGAAGUCUCGAUUUUUGAGGAGCAACAUACACACCCAAUGAUGAGUAGGGAAGAAUGGACGAGGUUCUAUAGAUCUCAUAGGAAGGUGCCAUAUGAGGACUACAUGUUUCUCAAGACACUGCAUAAUCGGAACAUACCAACCGCAUUGAUCAUGGCUACACUUGGAGACUUGCAUGGGAAACUAGGCAACCUACCGUACACUGACAGAGAUGUUGCAAACAUUUGAACUAAGAUGAGAAAUGAUGUGUCUUUAAAUGAUACGGCGAAAACGAUGGAGUAUUUUGAGAAGCUUCAUGCAGAGAGUCCCCUGUUCUAUUAUGCGAAGCUGGAAGAUGAGAACAAAGCAGUGAGGGCACUAUUCUGGGUG
This 396-nucleotide ribosomal RNA is filed under the name Triticum aestivum (bread wheat). Its description in RNAcentral is "partial small subunit ribosomal RNA". Lineage: Eukaryota; Viridiplantae; Streptophyta; Magnoliopsida; Poales; Poaceae. The record is from RNAcentral.